AACUUUUGACAACGGAUCACUUGGCUCUCGCAUCGAUGAAGAACGCAGCGAAAUGCGAUAAGUAAUGUGAUUUGCAGAAUUCAGUGAAUCAUCGAAUCUUUGAACGCACCUUGCGCUCCUUGGUAUUCCGAGGAGCAUGCCUGUUUGAGUGUCAUUAAUAUAUCAACCCUCUCUUGUUGAGUGGUUUGGAUGUGGGGGUUUGCUGGCCUCUUAAAAGGUUUUAGCUCCCCUGAAAUGCAUUAGCAGAACAACCCCCUGUUCAUUGGUGUGAUAACUAUCUACGCUAUUGAAUGUGAAGGGCAGUUUGGCUUUCUAACAGUCCUUGCUUGGACAGCUCAUCAUUAAUGUGACCUCAAAUCAGGUAGGACUACCCGCUGAACUUAAGCAUAUCAAUAAGCGGAGGCU
Molecule: unclassified non-coding RNA, 405 nt
Filed under: uncultured Cortinarius
Lineage: Eukaryota; Fungi; Basidiomycota; Agaricomycetes; Agaricales; Cortinariaceae
Description: sequence contains ITS2
Rfam family: 5.8S ribosomal RNA (bases 1-154)
Source: RNAcentral